This 1318-nucleotide long non-coding RNA is filed under the name Meriones unguiculatus (Mongolian gerbil). Its description in RNAcentral is "lncRNA (ENSMUGG00000003290.1)". The record is from RNAcentral. Lineage: Eukaryota; Metazoa; Chordata; Mammalia; Rodentia; Muridae.
UUCCUUCCCUCCAAUCCCCUCAGAGUUUAUCCACUGUGGUAAGGAUUUCUAUUCUUCUGAUGGUGUCCUCUAAAGCUGUCUUUGAGAGCAUCUUUACCACUGCCAGCAGACACUGUGUGGACGCCUCUCAGUUGGAAGAGAGGAUGUUGCACAAAGCAAAGAAGAUGCACUGCAUAUAGCAUUGCAGUAUGGUCAUUUUAACUCCUCGUUUCUCAAAGUCAAAACGAACAAGUUGCACAGAGGUGAAAGUCAGUAAGCCCUAUUGUAUCUUUGAGAUUUCAGGGUGUGAUUGAAAUUUGUGCUCUGUGCAUGGAAAUCUCUCCUUGUUUAACAAACAGAGUCUUCCAUAAUAGACUUUAGAUUUCUUCCCUUCCAUGCAACCUCAUUUUGGAAGAGAAGGGAAUCCAAAUGUGCCUUUGUGUCUACAUGUACGUUACCAUGUCUCGAUUCAUGGAACUCAAGUCUUCCACUUGGAAGAGCAUUGGAAUCAUCUACCAUGUUUCAGUUUAAAUCUGAUGAAAAGAAGAUGUUUUCUAUGCACUAACCGAAUAACCUGUGGUCAAACACUCAUGGGUUGCUCUGUAUUGAGUAUGUUGUACUACACAACUGAUCUUACAUGAUGUCCUUGAUUGGAUAUUCAAUGCUUUACCCAUGGCUUUAGAAAUUGUGUAUCCACAUAUAUAUAUGUGUCAGUCCUGAAUUAAUUGUGUUCAUCAUGAGGACAUUAAGAAGAUUCAGUGUGUGGUUCUUUCUUGUUUCAUUUGAGAGUUAGCGUGUCUGCUCCAUUAUCAGGACUGUGGGUCUACCAGCUAGCAACAUGUUCUUUUGAAAUAUCUUUCCUUUAUUUUUUAAAGGAAUAGUUGUUUUCAUAGAUCUUGGGUAACACGCAAAUUUUGUUAGAAGAGAUGGUUUUCAUCUGUGGGAGAGCGGCAAUAAGAGGAUGAAUGUACCCUGGAGGAAAACAGAAACAAUAACAACAAAUAACAGAAAGCAAAGCCCAAUUGUCAUUUCUCAUGAUGGAUCAACUGAGAUGGUUUCUGCGCGCGAGAGAGAUAGGACAACAAAAAGAAACACACAGGCCAAGCUACAUUAUGGUCCAUAUAUAUCACCAGGUAUCCCACAGGACAUUGACAGGGACAGGAGAUGGGUUCUGUGUGCCUGCCUCCUGAACCUGCUCUUCUUAUCACCUCUCUAGUCCUGUUUCUUCAAAUGAACUCAACACCACCCAGUUUCCAAGAUGAAGGAAGGCAUUGCAUUUAAUACCAAAAAUAUUCUUCGUUUUGUUUUUUUUUUCUGACAAUGGACAACUACAUUUCUG